GAUGAACGCUAGCGGCAGGCCUAAUACAUGCAAGUCGAGGGUACAGGGAGCUUGCUUCCGCUGACGACCGGCGCACGGGUGCGUAACGCGUAUACAAUCUGCCCUUAACUGGAGGAUAGCCACUGGAACAAGUGAUUAAUACUCCAUAACACUGCACGAUCGCAUGAGAGAGCAGUUAAAGAAUUUCGGUUAAGGAUGAGUAUGCGUGACAUUAGCUGGUUGGUAGAGGUAACGGCUCACCAAGGCAACGAUGUCUAGGGGUUCUGAGAGGAUGAUCCCCCACACUGGUACUGAGACACGGACCAGACUCCUACGGGAGGCAG
This 323-nucleotide ribosomal RNA is filed under the name uncultured Bacteroidota bacterium. RNAcentral describes it as "bacterial SSU rRNA". It matches the Rfam family "Bacterial small subunit ribosomal RNA", at positions 28 to 351 of the family's 1533-position model. The record is from RNAcentral. Lineage: Bacteria; Pseudomonadati; Bacteroidota.